Non-coding RNA from Fukomys damarensis (Damara mole-rat), 182 nucleotides. Lineage: Eukaryota; Metazoa; Chordata; Mammalia; Rodentia; Bathyergidae. The record is from Rfam.
AUCGCUUCUCGGCCUUUUGGCUAAGAUCAAGUGUAGUAUCUGAACUAACUUAUAAGACAAUCUGGGGAAAAGAAUCAUUUUAGCUCUUUUGAGUGCUUGAGGGUAAACCCUUACCUGUUUGGCUCAUUACUAGAUACCUAAGAUGUAACAGUACCUGGUAUUUUAUAUAGUGCCAGAGUAAU